Molecule: ribosomal RNA, 253 nt
Filed under: uncultured bacterium
Lineage: Bacteria
Description: partial 16S ribosomal RNA
Rfam family: Bacterial small subunit ribosomal RNA
Source: RNAcentral
UACGGAGGGGGCUAGCGUUGUUCGGAAUUACUGGGCGUAAAGCGUGCGCAGGCGGUGGCUCAAGCCAGGCGUGAAAUCCCCGGGCUUAACCUGGGAAUGGCGUUUGGGACUGGGUCGCUAGAGUGUGGCAGAGGGAGGUGGAAUUCCACGUGUAGCAGUGAAAUGCGUAGAGAUCCGGAAGAACACCAACGGCGAAGGCAGCCUUCUGGGAAGUACCUGACGCUGAGGGGCGAAAGCUAGGGGAGCGAACGGG